RNAcentral lists this ribosomal RNA (406 nucleotides) under uncultured bacterium. RNAcentral describes it as "partial 16S ribosomal RNA". It matches the Rfam family "Bacterial small subunit ribosomal RNA", at positions 30 to 526 of the family's 1533-position model. The record is from RNAcentral.
AUUGAACGCUGGCGGCAGGCCUAACACAUGCAAGUCGAACGAGUGGCGGACGGGUGAGUAAUGUCUGGGAAACUGCCUGAUGGAGGGGGAUAACUACUGGAAACGGUAGCUAAUACCGCAUACCAUCAGAUGUGCCCAGAUGGGAUUCGCUAGUUGGUGGGGGAACGGCUAACAAAGGCGACGAUCCCUAGCUGGUCUGAGAGGAUGACCAGCCACACUGGAAAUGGGACAUGGUCCAGACUCCUACGGGAGUCAGCAGUGGGGAAUAUGGCACAAUGGGCGAAAGCCUGCUGCAGCCAUGCCGCGUGUAUGAAGAAGGCCUUCGGGUGGUAAAGUUCUUUCAGCGGGGAGGCGUUACCCGCAGAGGAAGCACCGGCUAACUCCGUGCCAGCAGCCGCGGUAAUAC